This 374-nucleotide ribosomal RNA is filed under the name uncultured organism. Its description in RNAcentral is "partial 16S ribosomal RNA". It matches the Rfam family "Bacterial small subunit ribosomal RNA", at positions 527 to 897 of the family's 1533-position model. The record is from RNAcentral.
GUAGGUGGCAAGCGUUGUCCGGGAAUUAGUGGGCGUAAAGCGCGCGCAGGCGGUCUUUAAGUCUGAUGUGAAAGCCCACGGGUUCAACCGUGGAGGGUCAUUGGAAACUGGAGAACUUGAGUACAGAAGAGGAAAGCGGAAUUCCACGUGUAGCGGUGAAACGCGUAGAGAUGUGGAGGAACACCAGUGGCGAAGGCGGCUUUCUGGUCUGUAACUGACGCUGAGGCGCGAAAGCGUGGGGAGCAAACAGGAUUAGAUACCCUGGUAGUCCACGCCGUAAACGAUGAGUGCUAAGUGUUAGGGGGUUUCCGCCCCUUAGUGCUGCAGCUAACGCAUUAAGCACUCCGCCUGGGGAGUACGGCCGCAAAGGCUGA